AUAGGAAAAUGACCUAUGAAUUGAUAGACUGUGACUUUUAAAUUUGUCUGUCAGUUCUGUAGGCCAAUUUUCUGU
Molecule: microRNA precursor, 75 nt
Filed under: Pelodiscus sinensis (Chinese soft-shelled turtle)
Lineage: Eukaryota; Metazoa; Chordata; Testudines; Trionychidae
Description: mir-192/215 microRNA precursor family
Rfam family: mir-192/215 microRNA precursor family
About the family: This family represents the human microRNA (miRNA) precursors mir-192 and mir-215.
Source: Rfam by way of RNAcentral